UUGGGCAGAAAGAGCAAGGAAUACUCUUGUUACUGGUGGUACUUCCAAAUGUACCACACAUAUAUCUUGUUGCCAGCCCACUCCUGAAUAUGGUGUAGUGUGUAUCUGCAAUAAUAUAAUCCCCAAAGCCAUUUACUGUGCUCUUAUUGUGUGCCAUAUACUGUGCUAAGCAUUUAAAUGUGAUCCCAUUAAACCUCACAGCAACCUAGAGCAGAAGAUCCUGACUGUCUCCUUUUUUAAGACUCUUGAAUCUCUCUAUCUGGGGAAGCCAGCUGCCAUGUCAUGAGGAGACACCCACCUGACGAGGAACUGAGGCCUCCUAUCAACAGCCACAUAAGCUUCUCAGCCUUGCAGAUUGUCAGCUCUUACACUGGCAUGUAACUGGCCUGGUGAUCCACAGUAAACUCCUGAGAAGAGUUCCCGUUGGCUUGAGGAUGUGGAGUAUAUUUGGAAAGCCCCAUUUGUGACCAAUAGCCCUCUCCACACUGUUUCCACAUGAAGAUUGGUUUUCGAUUUGUGGCCGUGAGCACUUCCAGGAAGAGAUGUUCACAGCUUGUUUCUGUGCCCAGCUAAACCAUCUAAUAGCCCAAGAAGGGCAGCAGAGAAAGCCCAGCCUGUUGUAAGUUAAUUGCUCCUUUCUUUCUCUGUAUUCUCAAAAGCUUUUAAAGGAAUGUAAGCAAAAACAUCUGUCUCUUGAAGGAAUAUUUCAUCAGAGGCCAUACAACCAGAAUAAGGGUUAUGGUAAGAAAGCUGGCUUCCAUUUCUCUGGCUCACAUGCUCAAAAGAUCCCCCACAUGAU
Non-coding RNA from Manis javanica (Malayan pangolin), 799 nucleotides. The record is from RefSeq and is a predicted model, not a curated record. NCBI's taxonomy places the organism in Eukaryota, Metazoa, Chordata, Mammalia, Pholidota, Manidae.